RNAcentral lists this ribosomal RNA (328 nucleotides) under uncultured Bacillota bacterium. RNAcentral's name for it is "bacterial SSU rRNA". It matches the Rfam family "Bacterial small subunit ribosomal RNA", at positions 28 to 351 of the family's 1533-position model. The record is from RNAcentral. Lineage: Bacteria; Bacillati; Bacillota.
GAUGAACGCUGGCGGCGUGCCUAAUACAUGCAAGUCGAGCGAAUUGUUGAGUUUACUCAACAGUUAGCGGCGGACGGGUGAGUAACACGUGGGCAACCUGCCUAUAAGACUGGGAUAACUUCGGGAAACCGGAGCUAAUACCGGAUAUGUUCUUUCUCGCAUGAGAGAAGAUGGAAAGACGGUUUCGGCUGUCACUUAUAGAUGGGCCCGCGGCGCAUUAGCUAGUUGGUGAGGUAAUGGCUCACCAAGGCAACGAUGCGUAGCCGACCUGAGAGGGUGAUCGGCCACACUGGGACUGAGACACGGCCCAGACUCCUACGGGUGGCAG